This 387-nucleotide ribosomal RNA is filed under the name uncultured bacterium. RNAcentral's name for it is "bacterial SSU rRNA". It matches the Rfam family "Bacterial small subunit ribosomal RNA", at positions 30 to 417 of the family's 1533-position model. The record is from RNAcentral.
AUUGAACGCUGGCGGCAUGCUUUAUACAUGCAAGUCGUGCGGCAGCGCGGGGGCAACCCAGGCGGCGAGCGGCGAACGGGUGAGUAAUACAUAGGAACGUAUCCUGAAAUGGGGGAUAGCUCGGCGAAAGCCGGAUUAAUACCGCAUACGCUCCACGGAGGAAAGCAGGGGAUCGCAAGACCUUGCGUUUCUGGAGCGGCCUAUGUCUGAUUAGCUAGUUGGCGGGGUAAUAGCCCACCAAGGCGACGAUCAGUAGCUGGUCUGAGAGGAUGAUCAGCCACACUGGGACUGAGACACGGCCCAGACUCCUACGGGAGGCAGCAGUAGGGAAUUUUGGACAAUGGGCGCAAGCCUGAUCCAGCCAUGCCGCGUGAGUGAAGAAGGCCU